This is a long non-coding RNA of Sapajus apella (tufted capuchin), 1496 nucleotides long. RefSeq lists it as uncharacterized. The transcript has 3 exons. Lineage: Eukaryota; Metazoa; Chordata; Mammalia; Primates; Cebidae. The record is from RefSeq and is a predicted model, not a curated record.
AACAGGCCAGCAGUUUGGGAUGCCAGGCUGGCUUGGUCUCUCGGUUUCUGGAGUCACCUGAAUGACUUGACUCAUCUCCUGGCUGAGGGCUUGGCUUCUCACUUCUGAGACACCCCAUUCCCAAGGCAAAUUGCUGUCUUGCCUCUCUCCUUACAUUCAUUUACAUCCUCUGUUUUCAGGCUGCCUGCAGGAACUGAAGCUUCUAGACAAAGAGACCUGGGUUUAAUCCUUGCAGACUUUAGCUACAUUGUCUAACCUGUUGGGACCUCAGUCUCCUCAUCUUUGAAAUGGGCAUGCCAAUAUCCAACUCGUCACGAGGACUCAUGGGACGAUUGCCCAGCAGGCACUCAGAAAGCUGCCACCAUUGCGACUAGUAUCAUUCGGAGGCUGCCACGCUGGAUCCUGCUGGCCACAGGCCCUGACAAAACUGUUCCUUUUCUGCAAAUGUCUUUCCCAGGUCUUUUCCCCUCUUCUUCAUGUGCUUUGCCACCUUGCACCUGCUUGCCCGCUUGCUCAGUCACGUCCCCCUCGUCGGCCACGUUCUCCACGAAGCUGCGUCAGCCUCCCAAGAUGCAGAGUGAAAUGCAAUGGCUGGAGCCCCAGCAGUUACCGCGGACCAUGAGGUGACCUUAGGCAUGAAACCAGUGCGGCACAGAACAACAGAGAGAAGGAACCUGAUUCAUCGACAUUCUGGGGCACCAUACCAGCCCAGACAGCUCCUCAGAAUGUCUUGGACACAACAGAGAAGUAAACGUCUAUGCUGCUUAAACUACUGUUAUUUUUUUUUUUUUUCUAUUACUCAUAAUUAGACAUAAUCUAACGAAUACAAGUCUCUAAUGAAGGUGCCCUUUAGAGGCCACAUAGAUUAGUCAAGAGCUCAGAACGUAAAUCCAGAUGCACUUGCUAAGGGUAUGACCUUAUACAAGCAACGUCACCAUCUGGAAUCUCAAUUUACUCAUCUGUAAAGUGGGGUUAGUAACAGCAUUUAUCCUCCUCCUUGGCGCUCCCUACAGAGGUGGCAGCUAUCUCUUCCUCAGCAUCAUGGCUGUCCUCAGAUCUCUUGUGAAGCCCAAGAUGGUCAAAAAGAGAACUAAGCAGCACAUCCAGCACCAGUCAGACUGAUAUGUCAAAACUGGGUGUAACUGGCAGGGACCCAGAGGUAUUGACAACAGGGUUAGUAGAAGGUUCAAAGGCCAGAUCUUGAUGCCUAGCACUGGUUAUUGGAGCAGAAAAAAAACAAAGCACAUGUUUCCCAGUGGCUCCUGGGAGUUCCUGGUCCACAACGUCAAGGAGCUGGAAGUGCUGCUGAUUUGCAAAAAAUCUUACUGUGCUGAGAUGGCUCACGAUGUUUCCUCCACGAACUGCAAAGCCAUCAUGGAAAGAUUCGCUCAGCUGGCCAUCAGAGUCACCAACUCCAAUGCCAGGCUGCGCAGCAAAGAAAAUGUGUAGACAGCUCAUGUGUAUGUUUUGUGUUUAAAUAAAGCUGUAAAAACUGC